GCCGACACUACACGUGCGCAUGCGCACUGGGAUGGUUGCCGGUUGGUUGCUGUAGUUACAACUCAGGGGAGAGAGAAGCGCUACACCUGCGCUGCUGCUCCUGAGAACUUUAGCUCCGUUUAAUCUUUGUAGUUUUCGCACCAGAAGUCUGCAGAUUGGAGAUGCAUGCUGCCAUAAUCCCAUUUAGCUGACAUACUGCAGAUCUUCUCUGUCUCUGUGGUGGAAAUGCCAGCUGUGAACCAGGACAAAGAGGAUUCUGAGUCUCAGUCAGAAGACGAGCUAGAGUGCCAUCCCUGUAUAGCCUGGAGCGGGAUCAGCAGGAAGAUCCCAGUUCUGCUCUUCCAUGCUGAAGCUGUUGUGUCCAAAGAUGAAACUAUUUGUUCCAUUGGAGAAAGAUACAACUUGGCCUUCAAGAUUGUACGUACAGAGAGUCGACUUGUGCGAGGCAUGCUUAUAAAUCAUGGAUUCCAUGAGGUCCAUCCAAAUAGUAAUGAUUUCAACCUCAUGUGGACAGGCUCCCACCUUAAGACCUAUCUGCUCCGCAGUUUGCAGGAUUUCCAGAAAGUCAACCAUUUCCCCAGGUCAAAUGAGCUGACACGGAAAGACCGGCUGUACAAAAACAUUCAGCGGAUGCAGCAGGCUCACGGAUUUCAAAACUUCCACAUUGUACCUCAGACCUUCGUUCUUCCUGCUGAAUAUCAGGAAUUUUGCAAUGCCUUCUCUAAGGACAAGGGUUCAUGGAUUAUCAAACCUGUUGCAUCUUCCAGAGGCAGAGGCAUCUACCUGGUCAGCAGUCCAAGUCAGAUCUCAUUGGAUGAAAACAUCCUGGUGUCGCGGUACAUUAGCAACCCAUUAUUGAUAGAUGAUUUUAAGUUCGAUGUGCGAUUAUAUGUAUUGGUGACGUCUUAUGACCCGGUCAUUAUCUAUGUCUAUGAAGAGGGGCUAACUAGAUUUGCUACCGUGAAGUAUGACCAUGCUGUGAAGAACAUCAAGAACCAGUUCAUGCACCUCACCAACUACAGUGUAAACAAGAAGAGCAGUGACUAUGUCAGCUGUGAUGACCCUGAAGUAGAGGAUUAUGGGAACAAAUGGAGCAUGAGUGCAAUGCUGAGGUAUUUAAAACAGGAGGGAAAGGACACCACAUUGCUGAUGGGUCAGAUAGAGGACCUGAUCAUUAAAGCUGUGCUGAGUGCAGAGUUACAGAUUGCUACUGCCUGCAAGAUGUUUGUCCCUCAUCGCAACAACUGCUUUGAAUUGUAUGGUUUUGAUGUUCUCAUUGAUUCCAACCUCAAGCCAUGGCUCCUGGAAGUGAACCUCUCUCCAUCAUUGGCAUGUGAUACUCCUCUUGACCUGAAAAUAAAGGCCAGCAUGAUCUCAGAUAUGUUUUCUCUUGUAGGAUUUGUAUGCCAGGACCCCCUUCUAAAACAGACGCGGUCAGAUAAGGCUGGAUUGGACCCAGCUGGGAAGAACCACAAAACUCAACAUCAUUUCUUCGCACAGGCUGUCUCUGCCAAAUCCAGAGUGUGUCAGAGACCUCACUCUGCCAAUAAUAUUGAGGAGCUGAAAGAGAAACAGGGAGGCAGGCAUGUGGACACACUGAGCUUGACUGCAGAGGAGUUAAAAGUCCUGAGGAGGACACAGGAGGAGCACGAGAGGAGAGGUGGAUUCAUCCGUAUUUUCCCCACACCACAAACUUGGGAGCUCUACAGUGGUUAUCUGGAAUACAAGACAUCCAUGAACUCCAUGCUGGCUAAUAAACUUUUCCAUGGAAGGUCAGGAAAAUCCUCUGUGAUCACACAAUUCAGGAAUAGAUUGAAGGGUAAUGUGCCCUUAGAAGAGGAGGCCCAUAAAACCUGUCAUGUAGUUCAGUAUGAGUGCAAAUUGCUCUCUCUCGAGGCACGAAGACACAGGAAAAGGCAAACGACUAGCCGUGCCACUCCCCGGAGAAGGAAAACUGGUCGAAGGCCUUUACCAUCAUUAGCGCACAGCAGUGAAAAUGAGGAAGCUGAGGAGGGAGAAGAGCGAGGACCACAGGGAAAGCAGGAGCAAACAAUGUCUCAACCUCAGCCCACCCUGUUGGCGUGGCACCGAACUAAAGUCAGCAAACCCCCCAAAAAAGUGGAUCUGCUCCAUAUUCUCCAGCAGGGGUGGGAUCUCAGUAAGGUUCAGGCACGCAUGGCCUUCUCCUUCUAUCUCCAGCGGGUCCAGAUGAGGCUGCUUGUAGAGAGCAGGACCAACACUACCCCUGCCUGGGCACAAAAGGACAGUGACCAGAUGGAGCUGGUAAUGCGUUUUCUGAUGCGAGCUGCCAGUAACCUGCAGCAGGACAUGCAGGUGGUGUUACCCAGCCGCCAGCUUUCCCUGCCUGACCGCCGUCGCAUACUGGCCCAUCAGCUCGGAGAGUUCAUCCACUGUUAUAACCAGGAGACAGAACAACUGGUAAAAUGUUUGGAAAAGCCUGAAGAUGAAGACCGGUGCAUCAAUUCAAAUGUGUUUCGGGAGUUUAUUUUGGAAGCAAGUGAAAGUGAUCUAGAAGAUGUCCUCACUUUCUACACACACAAGAAUAAGUCUGCCAGCGUGUUUCUGGGGAGUUCCAGAAGAGACCAUUAUGAAGAAUGCGGUAAGGGCUCAGGAGCGCUAACAAAGCAUCACAGCAGGCGAACUCCGGUAAAAGCCAAAGAAGGCUCUAGUGCUUCAGGAUUGUCGCUGACUGCCAAGGCCGACUCACCAAAAAACAAAGAAAUCCAAGAGAGUGUAACCAGACCAGGAUGCAACAAAAGCAGUAUAACUGUGAACACGAACAGCCAUAGUAACACUAUCCAAAAUAGUGACAAAUAUAGAACAUUAAAUUAUGGUGGACACAGAAACAACAAAAUUCUAAAUGGAAAUACAGUGACAGAAGGUCAGCCUGAGGCCUCAACUGCCUUUGAGCCUCAAACUAAUGAAAGCAAAACAAGAGGUUUACAAGAUGGAGAAAUUUGGAGUAAAAGAUCCCACAUUACAAUUGUCGGAAAUGACGAACUGUCAAAAAUGGUUAAAGAGGUCAUCGAGCAGCCUGCAAAAAGUUGUAAAUUGCAAGUCAAGACCCAGGGUUCUCAGCACACGUCAUCAUAUCGUGCAGCCCUAGACUGUGAGCAUAUCCACCUGCAGCAAUGUUUCCCACGAUCUGAACCUGAAGCUCAGCCCCAGGCUCAACCUCCUCCUUAUAUCCAUCCUCCCCCACACCUGCAUGCUGAAUCUCAAAGCAAACCACAAACUACUUUAUCUUCUUCAUCCACAAAUUCUCUGCGGCCUACACGAGUAACGUUGCCUUCAUCAAAUUCAUAUUCACCUGGAUCAUUUACAACUACUGAAGUGCUACAACAAACCCCGGGUUCACAAAUGGCACAGCUGGUCACUAGUGGUGUUUCAUCUUCUAGUGCCUGCACUACAAACAUGUACAGUCAGAAAGUCUUGUGGCCCGCUUCUGCACCGCGAGUGAGUAAUAAGGCCAGUAAGUCCAGACCUGCCUCUGCAGGAGUGGUUAAGGAGCCAGAUUCACUCUCAGCACAGGCCCAGUCAAAUCAGCAGGCUAUUGUGGCUGCCCUGAAGAAACUAGUGGAGAAACAAGCAGCUCGCCAGUACAGCACCUCCAGCCACAUUAGUCUCCUUACACAACAUCUGACCAACCUGAACCUAGCUAAAGGAGUUUUCCGCAGAGGAGUGCAGAGUGUCACGUCAGGAGCUCGGCCCGACACAGCGACAGCUCAACACUCAGGCAUGAACCUCUCUGGUGCUGUGAGUCACAGGAAGGACGACGAUGACAGAAAGAUCCAGAGUGCCUGUAAUUUGGCUACUGGAGCAACUUUGCAGACCUCAUCAGGCAGCUCUCAGCUCCAGUUUGCCAUCCAGCAGCUCCAGCAGCAGAAACUGCAGUCCAGGAAGCUACUGGACCAGAGCCGUUCUCGACAUCAAGUCAUGCUGGAUGGACACACACUUGUGCCUGGUGCUGUACCACGAAACCCUGUUCCCGCCAGCUGUAGUGUUCGGGUCAACUCACAGUCCCAGACCAGCAUGAAGCAGACAGCAAGUAGGAGAGAUUCAUGCCAUCCUGAACCCCUGCUCUCUACACUGGGUGCCGCCGCUCUGAUUCCCAAACCCCCAAGCAGUACUCCCAAAGACACACUCUCACGCAAGACUGCCACUCAAAGGACCAACCAGCAAGCACCAUAUGAGACUCCAUCCGGAAACGGCUUAUCUAGUCAUCAAAAUGUUGUUAAUGACACCAUGUGUGGAAAAACAGGUCUGUCUAUGUACAGCAAAUUAUUCCACACGUAUAGGUCCAGACCUUGAUGAUGGAGCGAUGGCUGGUUCACUGAUUACUCGCUGGUGUUGGAUCUCUUCACAGGAACAAUUUUUAUCAUUCAGACUGAAGUGUCACUAUGGUUUACCAUGAUGGAAUAGAAAAGUCUGUUCAAUUAAUAGUUUGGCUAAAAUACCCACAAUUCUUCCCUUCUUCCCCGAAUGCAGUGAAUCAUUUGAGGUGUAUAGUGUAAGAAAUUAGCUUUUUCAGUUUUUCCACUGGAGCUACAAGUCUAAUGUGGAUAAUAAGCAAGGGAAGCUUAUAGCUGCAAGCCUCCAUCGCAUAAUUGCCCCAAACCAGUUGUUAUAUAAUCCCAAAUAGACUUGCUGCUGUGGUUUCUGACAGUGUGACACAAUGUUAGCAGUUAGAAUGUGCUGCAUAUCUAAAAACAGUAGUAACAGCCACCUUAAAUCAGGUAUCACCUUCUUUAUCAUUCUUGAUGAAGAAGGCGACAUAUGUAGGUGGGUGUAGUUUAAAGUUUAAAGACGAAAUUGUACAUACAAAGUGAUUCGGAUGACAAUUUGGUCAUUUGUAUAUUUAAUUUCUUUUAAUAAGAACUUGCUCUGCAAUUUUAUGAAAAUGUUUAUGUACACAUGGUAUUAUUGAGCCAAACCAUGUCUUUUGAAGCAAGUGAUGUAUACAUUCCAUUUGCAUGCCAUCUUACACUGGUACCCUAAAACUGUCCGUAUUUCUCAGCAACAUGAGCCUUAUAGCUCUAAUACAAAACUGAAGAAAACUAAACAUGGGGGAAAUUUUGUGUAAAAUGAAUUUUUGGCUGAACUAUUCCUUUAAACAAAGUGACAUUUAUAUCCACUCCUCUUUGCUCUUUGCUAGCAUACCAUAAACAUUUUUAUAUUCUCUUCUAGCUAAUCUUGUUUUACUGUUAUCUUGCUUUAUGUCCCGGCCCCCGCACUAGACAAGAAUCAUAUCUUUCCUUGGGGUGGAGGAACAGCUGACAAAUGCUGCUACCCCUGAGACCGUGUCUGACAUAAAACCGACCUUAUUUAUUUUUUUUGGAGAGCAUGUGGCUGUGAGGAUAGCAUGCUGUGUAAGAAAUCCCUGGCUUUGACACGAGCGCAGAUCUGUUCCAUGGCCCAAGAUUUUCCGGUGGCCUUCAGUUCCUCCCCGUCCUAUUGCUGCAGUUGUCCAGCCCCAUUCUCACCCUGCAACUGCUGCCAUCAAAAGACUAUGUGAAUAGACAGGCAACAACAGCUGCUAACUCCACUCAGCCUCUCGGCCUGAUCGCUGGAACAGACCAGAAGAGUAAGCUUCCUAACACACACUUUCAGACUUAGAUCUUCAGUAGAGUUCAACAUUCAUUUUCAGACUUAGAUGGCCUGUGACUUAAAAGAUAUUUGCACUUGAAAAGUAUAUUUAAAAGAUAUUUGCAUAUUUGCGCUCGAAAAAGUGACACUGAAAGAAUCUUAUUAGGUAUAAUAUGUGCAUUAUGUAAGGAAUAAUCCCCAAGAAGUUUGGUAUGAUAGCUCCACAAUCUGUUUUAUUCCUCCUAUACCACAGCGAUUUGCUAUUGAUAACAUUUUUUAUUUGUUAAUAAACAAGAUGUUAUGCUUUUUAACUCUUUUUUCAGUUACAUUUUAUGUUAUGGAAUUUCUGCAAGGCAGGUUACUUCCUUAUGUUCUAGCAGCUAUAAACAAUCGUUCCCUCAACAGCCGCUCUUAUUUUCUCUCUCUUAAAGUUGAUAAAACAAAAAGCACAGUUUGUCAAGAAACCACAAAGCAGACAAUCCUCUAUCAUGAAGCCUUUGCUGUGAUGGAGCCCUUACUGAGCUUCACAAAGCCGUGGAACUGGAGACUUCCUCCAGAAAUGUUAAAUAAACAUCUCCUAACAGGAAGCUUCACAAUAUCAAUGAUGAUACUUUUUCUCUUUUUUCUGUCAAAUGAAUGUCCUCCAUACAAGUCCCUGUGAAUAAGCUGAAAUGAUAAUGUAUUAGAAUGAGUGCAUUAACAUAAACGCUUUCAGAUUCAAGAAUUCAACAGUGCUGUGGUAUAAUGCUGAUUAUAAAGAGCAUUAAGGCUGAUUAUAAAGAUCAUUGAUGCUGAUUAUAAAUUAUUGCCAAAGGACAAUUGCUUUUGGUGAUCAGCACACAUACCGUCACGUAUCAAUAAGCACCGUGUCCGUCAGGACCAUAAUACUCUCCUCAAGUGCCUCAUUACGGUGCCACAUACUGCUUGUGUAUUGAGUUUUAUUACCUUGUGUGCUGUAUUUUAUGAUCAGUUCCAAAUGUACUGCACUCAUGCUAGCAGACUGAAACAACUGAAUCUCUAGGACAUAAUGGCUCCAUUGUAUCAGUGAUUGGUGUACUUCAUUAACAGACCCUGAAAAUAAGUCCGGUUGAUAAAUCGAUGGACUCUUCUUAAUGUCUUUCCAUAGAAAGCAGUUUUUCCCUUCUACAGUGUACACCAGUGUUAUCUAUUUACAGCUCCAUAGGGCAGCAUGUCUUGUUUCAUGAAGAGUUAAUAGUUUAAUAUCUUAAAAGGCUGGGCAGUCUGCAUGACUAAUUGGUGGGUUUUGUUGAUGUUUUACAAAACUUCAACAUAUUUUUGACACACGUUAAUUAGAAGAAAUGGUGUUUCUGCUUUUAGCUGCAGGUCAUUAGUUAUUCUCAGUCAUAAAGUCUGGCCAGCAAUGUACUGUAUAUUAUUGAUGUAUGCAAAAUAAAGCCUGCUGUCCCCCAUUGAGGAUAUUGUACUGUAACAUUUAUCAACUCAGGGUUUGGCCAUUUAAAGAACAUUUAUUUUUAGCUUUUACAAUGGUAUUGUUUUAUUGUUUGAUAUUGUAAUUUGUCUUGUGUGUGUUAUUGUAAAUCCAAAAUGUUGCUUUAUGAAUUAUUUCAGUGUGAAACCAAAUACUGAAAGUGUAUGACCAGAAUGUUGUAUGAAUACUGCGUGAACACUUUUUUUUUUGAGUCAUUGAUAUUUGUAUAUAGUACAGAAUAGGAAAAGAACAACAUUUUUUUUUUUGCAGAUAGUAUGACGUGAAAUGCGUUUGAUUUCUUCUCCAUUGAUUUUUACUAGAAUGUAGAAGAGAGCUGCUUAUUCUGUGGCACAGCUAAAAGAAUAUAAGAUGCCUGCAGUAAGGGGAAAAAGCAGGCCAACCUUUCCAACCAGUAAAAGACUUCAAUCCAAAGAUGCCUGAAGAUGAAUGACUAUAGUCAUGGUUUUCUUAUCAGAUUCCUGAUGCUAGAGAGUUAUGCUUUGUUGUUGGGUUCCAUGUUGUGCAUCAUUACCUGGUAGUGUUAUCCCAGACGAAAUACUAAGCUAAUACAGAGAUUUCUAUAACUGUAUAAAAGAAACCAGUAAAUACCCCUGGUAGUAGAGACCAUCUGCUUUGUUCACAUGUUAAUCCUUCAAGAUCUAAGUAGUGAGGGAAGACCUGUUCCCCUCUGUCUGUUAAUACAGAACAAUGUAUUGGUGAAAAUAAACACAUUAGAGUUGCUAGAAAUCGCUUUAAAUUCUGUGAAACAUAUUGUGUGGGAGGGAGUUUUUAUAUACAUGAUACGAUAUUUAGGGGUUACAUCAUAAUAAUAAUAAUAAUAAUAAUAAUAAUAAUAAUAAUAAUAAUACAGCAUUCAGUGCAUUAUAUUUAUUUGAAAGUAUUAUAUUAUGUGCAUUACUCUUGCAGAAAUAAUUCAAAUUCAAUCUAUUUGUCCAAGACUAAUUUUAAUUAAAAAAAGAUUGUUUUUCCAAGGGUAAUAGCAAUAAAAAAAAAUAAAAAAAAAACAUGUACAGUUUGUGAUCUGGUUUCAUGUCUUGUCAUACAAUAUUUUAUCCUGUUUGCUUUUAUGUAGGCCUACUGAACAAACCUAAAAAAAAAGUCUGACAGGUAACAGAGGUAAGCAUCCAAAACAAAAUAUUCUCUCACUAACAUUUCUUUCCAGCAUGUAUCAUUAUUAAUAUUAUUUAUGACACGUCUUGUAUUCAUUAGCCUGUCUUGUAGACAAACAGUGUGGGAAACUGUGAAGACCACAGUACAAUGUUCAGCAAGGACGAAUCCUGUGCAUCAAGGCUUUUUACACUAUAAACAAAAACCUGACGGUCGCCUGAGUGUCAGCCAGGCAAUGCUCUUGUUAACUCUUAAGUCUGUUUUGAUAUAUCCAGUAGGGAUUAUCAGUUUUCCUUUGUGUCCUGACCACAGCUGCUAAGACAUUCUGGAUAAAGCAGCUUCUGUAUUAGUCACUAAGUGAGUGCUGUCAGUUUAAUAUAAUUCAGCCGG
Ictalurus punctatus (channel catfish) is the source of this 8575-nucleotide RNA transcript. It is a transcript of the gene named tubulin tyrosine ligase-like family, member 5, with no coding region annotated. Lineage: Eukaryota; Metazoa; Chordata; Actinopteri; Siluriformes; Ictaluridae. The transcript is spliced from 34 exons. The record is from RefSeq and is a predicted model, not a curated record.